This 468-nucleotide ribosomal RNA is filed under the name uncultured bacterium. Its description in RNAcentral is "partial 16S ribosomal RNA". It matches the Rfam family "Bacterial small subunit ribosomal RNA", at positions 28 to 507 of the family's 1533-position model. The record is from RNAcentral.
GACGAACGCUGGCGGCGUGCUUAACACAUGCAAGUCGAACGGAAAGGCCCUGCUUUUGUGGGGUGCUCGAGUGGCGAAAGGGUGAGUAACACGUGAGUAACCUGCCCUUGACUUUGGGAUAACUUCAGGAAACUGGGGCUAAUACCGGAUAGGAGCUCCUGCUGCAUGGUGGGGGUUGGAAAGUUUCGGCGGUUGGGGAUGGACUCGCGGCUUAUCAGCUUGUUGGUGGGGUAGUGGCUUACCAAGGCUUUGACGGGUAGCCGGCCUGAGAGGGUGACCGGCCACAUUGGGACUGAGAUACGGCCCAGACUCCUACGGGAGGCAGCAGUGGGGAAUAUUGUACAAUGGGCGGAAGCCUGAUGCAGCAACGCCGCGUGCGGGAUGACGGCCUUCGGGUUGUAAACCGCUUUCGCCUGUGACGAAGCGUGAGUGACGGUAAUGGGUAAAGAAGCACCGGCUAACUACGUG